Molecule: ribosomal RNA, 2928 nt
Filed under: Escherichia coli
Lineage: Bacteria; Pseudomonadati; Pseudomonadota; Gammaproteobacteria; Enterobacterales; Enterobacteriaceae
Description: bacterial LSU rRNA
Rfam family: Bacterial large subunit ribosomal RNA
Source: RNAcentral
GGGUUGUGAGGUUAAGCGACUAAGCGUACACGGUGGAUGCCCUGGCAGUCAGAGGCGAUGAAGGACGUGCUAAUCUGCGAUAAGCGUCGGUAAGGUGAUAUGAACCGUUAUAACCGGCGAUUUCCGAAUGGGGAAACCCAGUGUGAUUCGUCACACUAUCAUUAACUGAAUCCAUAGGUUAAUGAGGCGAACCGGGGGAACUGAAACAUCUAAGUACCCCGAGGAAAAGAAAUCAACCGAGAUUCCCCCAGUAGCGGCGAGCGAACGGGGAGGAGCCCAGAGCCUGAAUCAGUGUGUGUGUUAGUGGAAGCGUCUGGAAAGGCGCGCGAUACAGGGUGACAGCCCCGUACACAAAAAUGCACAUACUGUGAGCUCGAUGAGUAGGGCGGGACACGUGGUAUCCUGUCUGAAUAUGGGGGGACCAUCCUCCAAGGCUAAAUACUCCUGACUGACCGAUAGUGAACCAGUACCGUGAGGGAAAGGCGAAAAGAACCCCGGCGAGGGGAGUGAAAAAGAACCUGAAACCGUGUACGUACAAGCAGUGGGAGCCUCUUUAUGGGGUGACUGCGUACCUUUUGUAUAAUGGGUCAGCGACUUAUAUUCUGUAGCAAGGUUAACCGAAUAGGGGAGCCGAAGGGAAACCGAGUCUUAACUGGGCGUUAAGUUGCAGGGUAUAGACCCGAAACCCGGUGAUCUAGCCAUGGGCAGGUUGAAGGUUGGGUAACACUAACUGGAGGACCGAACCGACUAAUGUUGAAAAAUUAGCGGAUGACUUGUGGCUGGGGGUGAAAGGCCAAUCAAACCGGGAGAUAGCUGGUUCUCCCCGAAAGCUAUUUAGGUAGCGCCUCGUGAACUCAUCUCCGGGGGUAGAGCACUGUUUCGGCAAGGGGGUCAUCCCGACUUACCAACCCGAUGCAAACUGCGAAUACCGGAGAAUGUUAUCACGGGAGACACACGGCGGGUGCUAACGUCCGUCGUGAAGAGGGAAACAACCCAGACCGCCAGCUAAGGUCCCAAAGUCAUGGUUAAGUGGGAAACGAUGUGGGAAGGCCCAGACAGCCAGGAUGUUGGCUUAGAAGCAGCCAUCAUUUAAAGAAAGCGUAAUAGCUCACUGGUCGAGUCGGCCUGCGCGGAAGAUGUAACGGGGCUAAACCAUGCACCGAAGCUGCGGCAGCGACACUAUGUGUUGUUGGGUAGGGGAGCGUUCUGUAAGCCUGUGAAGGUGGCCUGUGAGGGUUGCUGGAGGUAUCAGAAGUGCGAAUGCUGACAUAAGUAACGAUAAAGCGGGUGAAAAGCCCGCUCGCCGGAAGACCAAGGGUUCCUGUCCAACGUUAAUCGGGGCAGGGUGAGUCGACCCCUAAGGCGAGGCCGAAAGGCGUAGUCGAUGGGAAACAGGUUAAUAUUCCUGUACUUGGUGUUAUUGCGAAGGGGGGACGGAGAAGGCUAUGUUGGCCGGGCGACGGUUGUCCCGGUUUAAGCGUGUAGGCUGGUUUUCCAGGCAAAUCCGGAAAAUCAAGGCUGAGGCGUGAUGACGAGGCACUACGGUGCUGAAGCAACAAAUGCCCUGCUUCCAGGAAAAGCCUCUAAGCAUCAGGUAACAUCAAAUCGUACCCCAAACCGACACAGGUGGUCAGGUAGAGAAUACCAAGGCGCUUGAGAGAACUCGGGUGAAGGAACUAGGCAAAAUGGUGCCGUAACUUCGGGAGAAGGCACGCUGAUAUGUAGGUGAAGCGACUUGCUCGUGGAGCUGAAAUCAGUCGAAGAUACCAGCUGGCUGCAACUGUUUAUUAAAAACACAGCACUGUGCAAACACGAAAGUGGACGUAUACGGUGUGACGCCUGCCCGGUGCCGGAAGGUUAAUUGAUGGGGUUAGCGCAAGCGAAGCUCUUGAUCGAAGCCCCGGUAAACGGCGGCCGUAACUAUAACGGUCCUAAGGUAGCGAAAUUCCUUGUCGGGUAAGUUCCGACCUGCACGAAUGGCGUAAUGAUGGCCAGGCUGUCUCCACCCGAGACUCAGUGAAAUUGAACUCGCUGUGAAGAUGCAGUGUACCCGCGGCAAGACGGAAAGACCCCGUGAACCUUUACUAUAGCUUGACACUGAACAUUGAGCCUUGAUGUGUAGGAUAGGUGGGAGGCUUUGAAGUGUGGACGCCAGUCUGCAUGGAGCCGACCUUGAAAUACCACCCUUUAAUGUUUGAUGUUCUAACGUUGGCCCGUAAUCCGGGUUGCGGACAGUGUCUGGUGGGUAGUUUGACUGGGGCGGUCUCCUCCUAAAGAGUAACGGAGGAGCACGAAGGUUGGCUAAUCCUGGUCGGACAUCAGGAGGUUAGUGCAAUGGCAUAAGCCAGCUUGACUGCGAGCGUGACGGCGCGAGCAGGUGCGAAAGCAGGUCAUAGUGAUCCGGUGGUUCUGAAUGGAAGGGCCAUCGCUCAACGGAUAAAAGGUACUCCGGGGAUAACAGGCUGAUACCGCCCAAGAGUUCAUAUCGACGGCGGUGUUUGGCACCUCGAUGUCGGCUCAUCACAUCCUGGGGCUGAAGUAGGUCCCAAGGGUAUGGCUGUUCGCCAUUUAAAGUGGUACGCGAGCUGGGUUUAGAACGUCGUGAGACAGUUCGGUCCCUAUCUGCCGUGGGCGCUGGAGAACUGAGGGGGGCUGCUCCUAGUACGAGAGGACCGGAGUGGACGCAUCACUGGUGUUCGGGUUGUCAUGCCAAUGGCACUGCCCGGUAGCUAAAUGCGGAAGAGAUAAGUGCUGAAAGCAUCUAAGCACGAAACUUGCCCCGAGAUGAGUUCUCCCUGACUCCUUGAGAGUCCUGAAGGAACGUUGAAGACGACGACGUUGAUAGGCCGGGUGUGUAAGCGCAGCGAUGCGUUGAGCUAACCGGUACUAAUGAACCGUGAGGCUUAACCUUACAACGCCGAAGCUGUU